Molecule: ribosomal RNA, 490 nt
Filed under: uncultured bacterium
Lineage: Bacteria
Description: partial 16S ribosomal RNA
Rfam family: Bacterial small subunit ribosomal RNA
Source: RNAcentral
AUUGAACGCUGGCGGCAGGCCUAACACAUGCAAGUCGAACGGUAACAGGAAGCAGCUUGCUGCUUUGCUGACGAGUGGCGGACGGGUGAGUAAUGUCUGGGAAACUGCCCGAUAGAGGGGGAUAACUACUGGAAACGGUAGCUAAUACCGCAUAACGUCGCAAGACCAAAGAGGGGGACCUUAGGGCCUCUUGCCAUCGGAUGUGCCCAGAUGGGAUUAGCUAGUAGGUGGGGUAACGGCUCACCUAGGCGACGAUCCCUAGCUGGUCUGAGAGGAUGACCAGCCACACUGGAACUGAGACACGGUCCAGACUCCUACGGGAGGCAGCAGUGGGGAAUAUUGGACAAUGGGCGCAAGCCUGAUGCAGCCAUGCCGCGUGUAUGAAGAAGGCCUUCGGGUUGUAAAGUACUUUCAGCGGGGAGGAAGGGAGUAAAGUUAAUACCUUUGCUCAUUGACGUUACCCGCAGAAGAAGCACCGGCUAACUCCGUG